Manihot esculenta (cassava) is the source of this 486-nucleotide long non-coding RNA. RefSeq lists it as uncharacterized. The record is from RefSeq and is a predicted model, not a curated record. The transcript is spliced from 3 exons. NCBI's taxonomy places the organism in Eukaryota, Viridiplantae, Streptophyta, Magnoliopsida, Malpighiales, Euphorbiaceae.
AGAAAAGACUAGAAGAGAAAAGAUUAACUCAUCUUCUUCAAUUUUCCUCUCUUCCCCGUGUACCAAGAGGAAACCAUUUCUUCUUCAUGUUUUUUUUUCUACACCAAAAUUUCUUCAAAUUUUCACUUCCAAUCAAUUAUCUACUUUCUCCCAACACCUUUCCAAAGUAGAAUUUGAAGAAAAGAAGAGAAAUUAAAGAAAAAAAUUCAAGGUUAAGGGAGAGUGAAUAGUAACAAGGGUUGGGAAAUUGAAAGAAGAAGUGGAAGGGAGGAGUGGAAACUCCAAAGGGAAAGGAAAGGAAGAAUAGAAAUUUUAAGCUUGUGGAAGAUUUUGGAAGGUUUAAGGUUGUAGAUCCAAGAAACAGUAGAUCAAGAUCUGCAUCAACCCAGUCAGAGUUACAUCAUUAACUAUAUUGGGGUAUAUUUUGUAAAUUUUAUAUAAAGUUACUUUUGGAAAUAUGGCAUGUACAUAAAGUUUUAGAGAUAA